RNAcentral lists this ribosomal RNA (493 nucleotides) under Schyzocotyle acheilognathi. RNAcentral's name for it is "SSU rRNA". It matches the Rfam family "Eukaryotic small subunit ribosomal RNA", at positions 447 to 798 of the family's 1831-position model. Lineage: Eukaryota; Metazoa; Platyhelminthes; Cestoda; Bothriocephalidea; Bothriocephalidae. The record is from RNAcentral.
ACUCUCAGCACGGGGAGGUGGUGACGAAAAAUACCGAUGCGGGACUCCCAAACGAGGCUCCGUAAUCGGAAUGAGUCAACUAUAAAUCCUUUAACGAGGAUCAAUUGGAGGGCAAGUCUGGUGCCAGCAGCCGCGGUAACUCCAGCUCCAAUAGCGUAUAUUAAAGUUGCUGCAGUUAAAAAGCUCGUAGUUGGAUCUCGGUAUUAUUGUUGCCUGCUGGCUUUAGAGGCACUAGCUGGCCUAGCGGUGCAUGGGUGAGCCUGUGCAGCGUGGGGUCGGCGGCCUUGGGUCGGCGUGGCGGCGGUGAUACCUUUCAGCCAUGUCUGUGGUGCAAUAUCCACAGGUGUAGGCGAGUGCCAGGCGGUGCCCUGCAACUGUGGGGUUCGUCGGCUUGUCUGCAUGCCUACGGAUGCCCUUUAAAAGGUGUCUGUGGGCGGAUGGCACGUUUACUUUGAACAAAUUUGAGUGCUCAAACCAGGCCGAUGCUGCCUGA